Molecule: ribosomal RNA, 421 nt
Filed under: Fusarium oxysporum
Lineage: Eukaryota; Fungi; Ascomycota; Sordariomycetes; Hypocreales; Nectriaceae
Also listed under: 1 other name
Description: SSU rRNA
Rfam family: Eukaryotic small subunit ribosomal RNA
Source: RNAcentral
AUGCAUGUCUAAGUAUAAGCAAUUAUACCGCGAAACUGCGAAUGGCUCAUUAUAUAAGUUAUCGUUUAUUUGAUAGUACCUUACUACUUGGAUAACCGUGGUAAUUCUAGAGCUAAUACAUGCUAAAAAUCCCGACUUCGGAAGGGAUGUAUUUAUUAGAUUAAAAACCAAUGCCCUUCGGGGCUCACUGGUGAUUCAUGAUAACUCCUCGAAUCGCAUGGCCUUGUGCCGGCGAUGGUUCAUUCAAAUUUCUUCCCUAUCAACUUUCGAUGUUUGGGUAUUGGCCAAACAUGGUUGCAACGGGUAACGGAGGGUUAGGGCUCGACCCCGGAGAAGGAGCCUGAGAAACGGCUACUACAUCCAAGGAAGGCAGCAGGCGCGCAAAUUACCCAAUCCCGACACGGGGAGGUAGUGACAAUAA